GAAAAACUCCGGUGGUACAAGAUGGACCCGCGUCUGAUUAGCUAGUUGGUAAGGUAAGAGCUUACCAAGGCGACGAUCAGUAGCCGACCUGAGAGGGUGAUCGGCCACAUUGGGACUGAGACGCGGCCCAAACUCCUACGGGAGGCAGCAGUGGGGAAUAUUGCACAAUGGAGGAAACUCUGAUGCAGCAAUGCCGCGUAAAGGAAGACGGAUUUCGGUCUGUAAACUUAUAUCAGCAGGGAAGAUAGUGACGGUACCUGACUAAGAAGCCCCGGCUAACUACGUGCCAGCAGCCGCGGUAAUACGUAGGGGGCAAGCGUUAUCCGGAAUAACUGGGUGUAAAGGGUGCGUAGGCGGUUUGGCAAGUCAGAUGUGAAAGCCUAAGGCUUAACCUUAGGAUUGCAUUUGAAACUGUUGAACUAGAGUGCAGGAGAAGUAAGUAGAAUUCCUAGUGUAGCGGUGAAAUGCGUAGAUAUUAGGAAGAAUACCAGUGGCGAAGGCGGCUUACUAGACUGCAACUGACGCUGAGGCACGAAAGCGUGGGGAGCGAACAGGAUUAGAUACCCUGGUAGUCCACGCUGUAAACGAUGAAUGCUAGGUGUCGGGGGUCGAACCUCGGGUGCCGGCGUUAACGCAAUAAGUAUUCCACCUGGGGAGUACGAUCGCAAGGUUGAAACUCAAAGAAAUUGACGGGGGCCCGCACAAGCGGUGGAGCAUGUGGUUUAAUUCGAAGCAACGCGAAGAACCUUACCAAGUCUUGACAUCCUUCUGACCGGUCUGUAACGAGACCUUCUCUUCGGAGCAGAAGUGACAGGUGGUGCAUGGUUGUCGUCAGCUCGUGUCGUGAGAUGUUGGGUUAAGUCCCGUAACGAGCGCAACCCUUAUUUUUAGUAGCCAGCGGGUAAUGCCGGGGACUCUAGAGAGACUGCCGGGGAUAACUCGGAGGAAGGCGGGGAUGACGUCAAAUCAUCAUGCCCCUUAUGAUUUGGGCUACACACGUGCUACAAUGGCAGGUACAACGGGAAGCGAAAGGGCGACCUGAAGCAAACCCCAUAAAACCUGUCCCAGUUCGGAUUGUAGUCUGCAACUCGACUACAUGAAGUUGGAAUCGCUAGUAAUCGUGAAUCAGCA
Molecule: ribosomal RNA, 1131 nt
Filed under: uncultured organism
Description: bacterial SSU rRNA
Rfam family: Bacterial small subunit ribosomal RNA
Source: RNAcentral